RNAcentral lists this ribosomal RNA (1546 nucleotides) under bacterium. Its description in RNAcentral is "partial 23S ribosomal RNA". It matches the Rfam family "Bacterial large subunit ribosomal RNA", at positions 1 to 1444 of the family's 2925-position model. The record is from RNAcentral.
AAAGUUACAUAAGCGCACACAACGAAUGCCUUGACGCAAUUUACCGAUAAAGGACGUAAUAGGCUGCGAUAAGCCUCGGGGAGCUGCCCUUCAGCUUUGAACCGAGGAUUUCCGAAUGGGGAAACCCGGCUAGAGUCAUGUCUAGUCACUCUUAUCUGAAUAUAUAGGAUAGGUAGAGGUAACCGCCCGAACUGAAACAUCUAAGUAGGGCGAGGAAAAGAAAGUAAACAACGAUUCCGGGAGUAGUGGCGAGCGAAACUGGAAUAGCCCAAACCUAGUAAACUUUCAUUUAGUAAUAAAUGAAUAAGUUGGUAGACGAAUGUUUAAUAGGGGUUGUGACGUUGUAAAUAACCAGUACAGAGUAUUGAAUUUAUUCAGUAUUCUGUAGUGGGAACCGAGGCUACCAUUCCUCGGUGUAAGGAGUAGAAAAAGUGGCAAUGCAAGCAGAAGGAACUGGAAAGUUCCGCCAAAGACGGUGAUAGCCCGGUAUGCCAAGUAUUGCUAACCUUAUUUUUACAAUAGUCGAGUAGGACGGGGCACGAGAAACCCUGUUUGAAUCCGGGACGACCACGUUCCAAGGCUAAAUAUAAAUUGCGAUCGAUAGUGAACUAGUACCGCGAGGGAAAGGUUAAAAGAACCCCGGAAGGGGAGUGAAAUAGAUUCUGAAAUUGUGUGCGUACAAGGACUCGGAGGGCUUCGGCCUGACGGGGUGCUUUUUGUAGAACGAUCCAACGAGUUAAUUGUUAGUGCAGCCUAAGGCAAUUGCCGGAGGCACAGUGAAAGCGAGGCUGAAUAGGCCGCCAUUGUACUAAUGAUUAGACCCGAAACCAGGUGACCUUACCAUGAGCAGGAUGAAGCAGCGGUAAAACGCUGUGGAGGUCCGAACCGUAGCGAGUUGCAACACGCCCGGAUGACUUGUGGUAAGCGGUGAAAUGCCAAUCGAACCUGGAGAUAGCUGGUUCUCCUCGAAAUAGCUUUAGGGCUAGCGUCGUACGGUAACAUGCAGGGGUAGAGCUCUGAUUCGGACUGCGGCCAGUAAUGGUACGCACCCUUGUCAAACUACGAAUACUGCAUGCGGAACUACGGCAGUCAGAACGGCGGGGCUAAGCUCGUCGCUCAAAAGGGAAACAGCCCAGACCAUCAGCUAAGGUCCCUAAAUAUACACUCAGUGGGAAACGAGGUGAGAUUUCUUAAACAAUGAGGAUGUUGGCUUAGAAGCAGCCAUUCAUUUAAAGAGUGCGUAACAGCUCACUCAUCAAGAGAUCUUGCGCGGAAAAUGUAACGGGGCUAAAGUGUAUUACCGAAGCUAUGGGUUCGUAUUUAUACGAGCGGUAGAGGAGCGUUCCUAUUGCGCUGAAGUUGAACCGCGAGGUUUGGUGGAGCGGUAGGAAGUGAGAAUGUUGGAAUGAGUAACCAUAAGGCAGGUGAGAAUCCUGCCCACCGAAAGAGCAAGGUUUCCUGGGCCACGAUAAUCGUCCCAGGGUUAGUCGGUCCUAAGCCGAGGCGCGUAGCGUAGGCGAUGGACAACGGGUUAAUAUUCCCGUAC